UGUAGUGUUAACGAUGAGGCAUACAUGUCAACUAUGGGUGUUGGCUCCAACAAUUCGCAUUGGUCUCAAACCAAUGACAUGCAUUUCGAUGACCAUGAGUUUGAGGUGGACGAGGAUGGUGAGGGCAUUUUCGACGCACCGAAAGGAAGAGGGAACUACACCAACGAAGAAGACGUCUUGCUAUGCAAUACUUGGUUGCAAGUGUCGAGGGAUCCAUCCGUUGGAGGUGAUCAAAGUAGAGAUGCUUAUUGGAACCAGAUGAAGGAGCACUUUGAUCUACACAACAAGAGUGGAACUGACCGCUCCGCUCGAUCUCUUCGCUCCCGGUGGUCGACAAUCAACAAGGAUUGUCAAAAGUGGGCGGCCGCACAAAAGGCGGUUGACAAGUUGAACCCAAGUGGCACUAAUGACGAUGGGUAA
This 420-nucleotide ribosomal RNA is filed under the name Triticum aestivum (bread wheat). RNAcentral's name for it is "partial small subunit ribosomal RNA". The record is from RNAcentral. Lineage: Eukaryota; Viridiplantae; Streptophyta; Magnoliopsida; Poales; Poaceae.